AUGUUUUCCCUUCCCACCCCUAAUUUUAAUAUGAAAAUUAGGGUUCGGUAUUCGGCCGAAUCUCUCGCAAAGGAUUCGGGGGUUCGGCUGAAUCCAAAAUAGUGGAUUCGGUGCAUCCCUACAAGGUACAUCUCAUAACCAGCUUGAGAAUGGCAGACUAGGGAAAGUAUCUCUGACCAAACCAUGAGUUGAGUAGAAGAGGAUUGUCCCAGUGACCUUCAGAAUAUGGACAUAGGUAUUUCCUAGAAAUCUUGUACCCCAAAGAAAACUCUUAAAGAGGAACUGUUGCAUCCUCUUUAAUCUCAGGCAAAAGAAAAAGUAGGUUUGGUAGCUUACUGACCAGAACUAUAGCUUUUAGUGGCCCAUUAACUGUCCACUGUUUGUAUGCAAUUUGCUUAGCCAGGACUACAUGGAACUCAGCUAUGCUACUGUGGGAACCCUAGCAGAGCACAACUCUCACUCACCACUAUUUCUUCAAGAAGAACUAUGAUGUAUCUUGAAUUCCUCUGUGACAGCUUCUGUGAUUCAUAAAUGCUCCCCUCACGCACACACCAGGGGCCAAUAUAAUCCAGUAUUGCUCCUUAUAAGAUGUCUGCUAUUGACCAUUUCAUUUUUUUCCAUUAAAUUUAAUAUUUAUUUAAAAAAGAAUAUGAGAAACAGCUUUUAUAUAAAAAAAUAAAUAAAAUGAGUAUUUAUUAAACA
Xenopus laevis (African clawed frog) is the source of this 702-nucleotide long non-coding RNA. RefSeq lists it as uncharacterized. Lineage: Eukaryota; Metazoa; Chordata; Amphibia; Anura; Pipidae. The record is from RefSeq and is a predicted model, not a curated record. The transcript is spliced from 2 exons.